GGAGGGUGCGAGCGUUGUUCGGAAUUAUUGGGCGUAAAGCGCGUGUAGGCGGUCUGUUUAGUCUGGUGUGAAAGCCCUGGGCUCAACCCGGGAAGUGCAUUGGAUACUGGCAGACUUGAGUACGGGAGAGGAUAGUGGAAUUCCGAGUGUAGGGGUGAAAUCCGUAGAUAUUCGGAGGAACACCGGUGGCGAAGGCGGCUAUCUGGACCGAUACUGACGCUGAGACGCGAAAGCGUGGGGAGCAAACAGGAUUAGAUACCCUGGUAGUCCACGCCGUAAACGAUGGGUACUAGGUGUUGCGGGUAUUGACCCCUGCAGUGCCGAAGCUAACGCAUUAAGUACCCCGCCUGGGGAGUACGGUCGCAAGACUA
This 371-nucleotide ribosomal RNA is filed under the name uncultured bacterium. Its description in RNAcentral is "bacterial SSU rRNA". It matches the Rfam family "Bacterial small subunit ribosomal RNA", at positions 527 to 896 of the family's 1533-position model. The record is from RNAcentral.